Molecule: ribosomal RNA, 468 nt
Filed under: uncultured bacterium
Lineage: Bacteria
Description: partial 16S ribosomal RNA
Rfam family: Bacterial small subunit ribosomal RNA
Source: RNAcentral
GACGAACGCUGGCGGCGUGCUUAACACAUGCAAGUCGAACGGAAAGGCCCUGCUUUUGUGGGGUGCUCGAGUGGCGAACGGGUGAGUAACACGUGAGUAACCUGCCCUUGACUUUGGGAUAACUUCAGGAAACUGGGGCUAAUACCGGAUAGGAGCUCCUGCUGCAUGGUGGGGGUUGGAAAGUUUCGGCGGUUGGGGAUGGACUCGCGGCUUAUCAGCUUGUUGGUGGGGUAGUGGCUUACCAAGGCUUUGACGGGUAGCCGGCCUGAGAGGGUGACCGGCCACAUUGGGACUGAGAGACGGCCCAGACGCCUACGGGAGGCAGCAGUGGGGAAUAUUGCACAAUGGGCGGAAGCCUGAUGCAGCAACGCCGCGUGCGGGAUGACGGCCUGCGGGUUGUAAACCGCUUUCGCCUGUGACGAAGCGUGAGUGACGGUAAUGGGUAAAGAAGCACCGGCUAACUACGUG